GCCUGUUUUUAACGCCACAUCCGAAUAGCUGUGCAUUUUCCAAGCGACUCCGACGUACUCUGACGUCAGAACAGGCGUACAAUACUUUUGUGUUUCAAGAACCGCCGGAAAUACGCGGCCGAUUUGGUAAAGUUUUAAACACGAUUAUUUUAAAACAUUUAAAACGCAUGCCAUAUUUGGAUCGCCGAUUUCAGAAAUCCCCCGAGCAGAUACGGGAUGAUUGAGAUAAUCGGUAAAAAACACAUUGGUACCGCGUUCCGCUCGGACUACACAAAUUAAACGCGAUCAUGUUUUUUCGAUGUUACGGACGUUACUGAAAUUAAACGAUUCAUUUCAGGCAUACGCGUAAUUUUAUGAUUUCCUUUACCCAUAAUAUUUGUUUCCCCAUAAAUCAGCAGUAGCAAAAUUGUUUCGCUUACCAUAAAGUCACGCGUUUUACAUUUUUGUUUUAAAAUUGGAAAAAAAAACAUAUUUUUGAUCGUUACAUCCCUGGUAUCGAUUUUGGAGAUAGAAAUAAUCGCAUUAUUCAGAGUCGCUCGAAAAAAAAAUAUACGCGACUGUUUGGACCUGGUGCUAAAAAUAGGUGUUAUCGUUUAAAAAAACGCACGUUUUAACGCGAAUGGCGCUCGUCGCUUGCAAGGGUUAACAUUUUGAAAAUCGGUUCGACACGUGUGUUUUAGUACCAAGAUAUUCCUAAAAAAAAGAAAAAAAAGAAAAAAAAGAAUUUAAAUUCAAUCCGAGUGCAUCGGGCUGAAAUAUUUCGCUUUAAAUUUCGAGUGAAACGCGUUUUCAUAACGCAUAAAAUAUUACACUCGGUUUUCAGACCGAAUAUGAUACCGGAGUGCUCGCGAAUGUGUUUGGUCUCCGAACGAAAUAUUUCCGCAUUAACACA
Molecule: non-coding RNA, 892 nt
Organism: Cinara cedri
Lineage: Eukaryota; Metazoa; Arthropoda; Insecta; Hemiptera; Aphididae
Source: the annotation of a GenBank genome assembly